CCUACGGGAGGCAGCAGUGAGGAAUAUUGGUCAAUGGACGAGAGUCUGAACCAGCCAAGUAGCGUGAAGGAUGAAUGCCCUAUGGGUUGUAAACUUCUUUUAUCAAGGAAUAAAACGAGGCACGUGUGCCCUUUUGCAUGUACUUUAUGAAUAAGGAUCGGCUAACUCCGUGCCAGCAGCCGCGGUAAUACGGAGGAUCCGAGCGUUAUCCGGAUUUAUUGGGUUUAAAGGGAGCGUAUAUGGGUUGUUAAGUCAGUUGUGCAAGGUUGCGGCUCAACCGUAAAAUUGCAAUUGAUACUGGCAGUCUUGAGUACAGUUGAGGUAAGCGGAAUUCGUGGUGUAGCGGUGAAAUGCUUAGAUAUCACGAAGAACCCCGAUUGCGAAGGCAGCUUACUAAACUGUGACUGACAUUGAGGCUCGAAAGUGUGGGUAUCAAACAGGAUUAGAUACCCUAGUAGUC
Molecule: ribosomal RNA, 460 nt
Filed under: uncultured bacterium
Lineage: Bacteria
Description: partial 16S ribosomal RNA
Rfam family: Bacterial small subunit ribosomal RNA
Source: RNAcentral